This is a non-coding RNA of Cinara cedri, 360 nucleotides long. The record is from the annotation of a GenBank genome assembly. NCBI's taxonomy places the organism in Eukaryota, Metazoa, Arthropoda, Insecta, Hemiptera, Aphididae.
ACAAUCGAGACUCACGCAUAUUAUAAUAUAUUACGUAGAUACACUGCACGGAUUAUUUGCCGCGCGAUCUUUCGUUUUUGUUGUUUGUAUUCAAAGCUAAGCAGUAAUUGCAGUUGUAGUUUAAAAAGUCACAUUUUUCGAUAAAUUCAACUAAGUAGUCUACAAAAAUAAAAAUGAAGAUUAAAAACCAACUAGUUUAUUAGUUAUUUUGUUAACAUUUUAGUUAAAGGUAAAUUAAAUUUAAAACUGUAGACCUAUUGCACGUAUUUAUGUAUUUAUUCUUCAACGAAAAUUAAGUGUUUUCACGUGAUCAUUAUAAUUAUCAUUAUCACAUAACGAGACAUGUAUUCGGCCUAUGUG